UCCAGCUGUAGGGAACUGCCUAGGUUGCAUUGUACCAAAGCAAGUGUCACACUGCUGGGAUAAAAGCAACCAAUAGCUGGUGGGCAUU
Molecule: small nucleolar RNA, 88 nt
Filed under: Ochotona princeps (American pika)
Lineage: Eukaryota; Metazoa; Chordata; Mammalia; Lagomorpha; Ochotonidae
Description: Small nucleolar RNA SNORA74 (ENSOPRG00000022457.1)
Source: RNAcentral